This 301-nucleotide ribosomal RNA is filed under the name uncultured bacterium. RNAcentral describes it as "partial 16S ribosomal RNA". It matches the Rfam family "Bacterial small subunit ribosomal RNA", at positions 509 to 807 of the family's 1533-position model. The record is from RNAcentral.
CAGCAGCCGCGGUAAUACGUAGGGCGCAAGCGUUAUCCGGAAUUAUUGGGCGUAAAGAGCUCGUAGGCGGUUUGUCGCGUCUGCCGUGAAAGUCCGGGGCUCAACCCCGGAUCUGCGGUGGGUACGGGCAGACUAGAGUGAUGUAGGGGAGACUGGAAUUCCUGGUGUAGCGGUGAAAUGCGCAGAUAUCAGGAGGAACACCGAUGGCGAAGGCAGGUCUCUGGGCAUUAACUGACGCUGAGGAGCGAAAGCAUGGGGAGCAAACAGGAUUAGAUACCCCGGUAGUCCCUGUCUCUUAUAC